CUCCGGACUGGCCCAGAGAGGUGGGCAACUACCACUCAGGGCCGGAAAGUUGUCCAAACUCGGUCAUUUAGAGGAAGUAAAAGUCGUAACAAGGUCUCCGUUGGUGAACCAGCGGAGGGAUCAUUACAGAGUUACUACUCCAAACCCAUUGUGAACCUUACCUUAUGUUCUGUUGCCUCGGCGGCGUCGGUCAGCGCCCCUCUGAAAAGAGGACGAUGCCCUCCCGCCGGCAGCACCAAACUCUUGAAUUUUACAGCGGAUUACAGUUCUGAUUUGAAAACAAAAAAACAAGUUAAAACUUUCAACAACGGAUCUCUUGGUUCUGGCAUCGAUGAAGAACGCAGCGAAAUGCGAUAAGUAAUGUGAAUUGCAGAAUUCAGUGAAUCAUCGAAUCUUUGAACGCACAUUGCGCCCGGCAGUAAUCUGCCGGGCAUGCCUGUCCGAGCGUCAUUUCAACCCUCGAACCUCCGUUUCCUCAGGGAAGCCCAGGGUCGGUGUUGGGGCGCUACGGCGAGUCUUCGCGACCCCCCGUAGGCCCGAAAUACAGUGGCGGUCCCGCCGCGGUUGCCUUCUGCGUAGUAAGUCUCUUUUGCAAGCUCGCAUUAGGUCCCGGCGGAGGCCUGCCGUCAAACCACCUAACAACUCCAGAUGGUUUGACCUCGGAUCAGGUAGGGUUACCCGCUGAACUUAAGCAUAUC
This 698-nucleotide ribosomal RNA is filed under the name Pseudallescheria ellipsoidea. RNAcentral's name for it is "eukaryotic LSU rRNA". The stretch from base 297 to 450 matches the Rfam family "5.8S ribosomal RNA". The record is from RNAcentral. Lineage: Eukaryota; Fungi; Ascomycota; Sordariomycetes; Microascales; Microascaceae.